RNAcentral lists this ribosomal RNA (249 nucleotides) under uncultured bacterium. RNAcentral describes it as "partial 16S ribosomal RNA". It matches the Rfam family "Bacterial small subunit ribosomal RNA", at positions 524 to 773 of the family's 1533-position model. The record is from RNAcentral.
UACGGAGGGGCAAGCGUUGUUCGGAAUUACUGGGCGUAAAGGGCGUGUAGGCGGCCAUUCAAGUCAGACGUGAAAGACCUGGGCUUAACCGAGGAUGUGCGUAUGAUACUGGAAGGCUUGAGAUCGGGAGAGGAAAGUAGAAUUCCUAGUGUAGAGGUGAAAUUCGUAGAUAUUAGGAGGAAUACCAGUGGCGAAGGCGGCUUUCUGGACCGAAUCUGACGCUGAGGCGCGAAAGCGUGGGGAGCAAAC